AGUUAAUAAGCUUUUUAAAGCAUUUGUUUUGAAAACAUUCUAAAAAAGUUUAAAUCUUUUAUUAGCUU
This 68-nucleotide transfer RNA is filed under the name Ornebius fuscicerci. Its description in RNAcentral is "tRNA-Ser". It matches the Rfam family "tRNA". Rfam says of the family: Transfer RNA (tRNA) molecules are approximately 80 nucleotides in length. Their secondary structure includes four short double-helical elements and three loops (D, anti-codon, and T loops). Lineage: Eukaryota; Metazoa; Arthropoda; Insecta; Orthoptera; Mogoplistidae. The record is from RNAcentral.